UAGGGAAUAUUAGUAAUGGGCGAAAGCCUGAAGCAGCAACGCCGCGUGUGCGAUGAAGGCCUUCGGGUUGUAAAGCACUUUUUGAGGGGAUGAGGAAGGACAGUACCCUCAGAAUAAGCCUCGGCUAACUACGUGCCAGCAGCCGCGGUAACACGUAGGAGGCGAGCGUUAUCCGGAUUUACUGGGUGUAAAGCGCGUGCAGGCGGUUCAGAAAGUUGGAUGUGAAAGCUCCUGGCUUAACUGGGAGAGGUCGUUCAAUACUAUCAGACUUGAGAGUGGUAGAGGGAGGUGGAAUUCCGCAUGUAGUGGUGAAAUGCGUAGAUAUGCGGAGGAACACCAGUGGCGAAAGCGGCCUCCUGGCCCAUUUCUGACGCUCAGACACGAAAGCUAAGGUAGCAAACG
Molecule: ribosomal RNA, 402 nt
Filed under: uncultured prokaryote
Description: bacterial SSU rRNA
Rfam family: Bacterial small subunit ribosomal RNA
Source: RNAcentral